Molecule: ribosomal RNA, 469 nt
Filed under: uncultured bacterium
Lineage: Bacteria
Description: partial 16S ribosomal RNA
Rfam family: Bacterial small subunit ribosomal RNA
Source: RNAcentral
GACGAACGCUGGCGGCGUGCUUUACACAUGCAAGUCGAACGCUGAAGCACCAGCUUGCUGGUGUGGAUGAGUGGCGAACGGGUGAGUAAUACGUGAGUACCUGCCCUUGACUCUGGGAUAAGCCCGGGAAACUGGGUCUAAUACUGGAUGCUACAUGUCACCGCAUGGUGGGGUGUGGAAAGGGUUUACUGGUCUUGGAUGGGCUCACGGCCUAUCAGCUUGUUGGUGAGGUAAUGGCUCACCAAGGCGACGACGGGUAGCCGGCCUGAGAGGGUGACCGGCCACACUGGGACUGAGACACGGCCCAGACUCCUACGGGAGGCAGCAGUGGGGAAUAUUGCACAAUGGGCGAAAGCCUGAUGCAGCGACGCCGCGUGAGGGAUGACGGCCUUCGGGUUGUAAACCUCUUUCAGCAGGGAAGAAGCCACAAGUGACGGUACCUGCAGAAGAAGCGCCGGCUAACUACGUG